RNAcentral lists this non-coding RNA (46 nucleotides) under Schistosoma mansoni. Lineage: Eukaryota; Metazoa; Platyhelminthes; Trematoda; Strigeidida; Schistosomatidae. The record is from RNAcentral.
AUCCAGCUGACGAGUCCCAAAUGGGACGAAACUUCGCGUCCUGGAU